AGAGUUUGAUCAUGGCUCAGGAUGAACGCUGGCGGCGUGCUUAACACAUGCAAGUCGAACGAACCUUCGGGUUAGUGGCGGACGGGUGAGUAACGCGUGAGAAUCUGCCCUCAGGAGGGGGAUAACGGUUGGAAACGACCGCUAAUACCCCAUAUGCCGCGAGGUGAAAUGAAUUUCGCCUGAGGAUGAGCUCGCGUCUGAUUAGCUAGUUGGUGGGGUAAAGGCCUACCAAGGCAUCGAUCAGUAGCUGGUCUGAGAGGAUGAUCAGCCACACUGGGACUGAGACACGGCCCAGACUCCUACGGGAGGCAGCAGUGGGGAAUUUUCCGCAAUGGGCGAAAGCCUGACGGAGCAACGCCGCGUGAGGGAUGAAGGCCUCUGGGCUGUAAACCUCUUUUAUCAAGGAAGAAGAUCUGACGGUACUUUGAUGAAUAAGCCACGGCUAAUUCCGUGCCAGCAGCCGCGGUAAUACGGGAGUGGCAAGCGUUAUCCGGAAUUAUUGGGCGUAAAGCGUCCGCAGGCGGCCCUUCAAGUCUGCUGUUAAAAAGUGGAGCUUAACUCCAUCAUGGCAGUGGAAACUGUUGGGCUUGAGUGUGGUAGGGGCAGAGGGAAUUCCCGGUGUAGCGGUGAAAUGCGUAGAUAUCGGGAAGAACACCAGUGGCGAAGGCGCUCUGCUGGGCCAUCACUGACGCUCAUGGACGAAAGCCAGGGGAGCGAAAGGGAUUAGAUACCCCUGUAGUCCUGGCCGUAAACGAUGAACACUAGGUGUCGGGGGAAUCGACCCCCUCGGUGUCGUAGCCAACGCGUUAAGUGUUCCGCCUGGGGAGUACGCACGCAAGUGUGAAACUCAAAGGAAUUGACGGGGGCCCGCACAAGCGGUGGAGUAUGUGGUUUAAUUCGAUGCAACGCGAAGAACCUUACCAGGGUUUGACAUCCUGCGAAUCUCUUGGAAACGAGAGAGUGCCUUCGGGAACGCAGUGACAGGUGGUGCAUGGCUGUCGUCAGCUCGUGUCGUGAGAUGUUGGGUUAAGUCCCGCAACGAGCGCAACCCACGUCUUUAGUUGCCAGCAUUUAGUUGGGCACUCUAGAGAGACCGCCGGUGAUAAACCGGAGGAAGGUGUGGAUGACGUCAAGUCAUCAUGCCCCUUACAUCCUGGGCUACACACGUACUACAAUGCUACGGACAAAGGGCAGCAAGUUCGCGAGGACAAGCAAAUCCCAUAAACCGUGGCUCAGUUCAGAUCGUAGGCUGCAACUCGCCUACGUGAAGGAGGAAUCGCUAGUAAUCGCAGGUCAGCAUACUGCGGUGAAUACGUUCCCGGGCCUUGUACACACCGCCCGUCACACCAUGGAAGUUGGCCACGCCCGAAGCCGUUACUCCAACCCUCGGGAGGAGGACGUCGAAGGUGGGGCUGAUGACUGGGGUGAAGUCGUAACCAAGGUACCA
RNAcentral lists this ribosomal RNA (1447 nucleotides) under Synechococcus sp. CCMP839. Its description in RNAcentral is "bacterial SSU rRNA". It matches the Rfam family "Bacterial small subunit ribosomal RNA". Lineage: Bacteria; Bacillati; Cyanobacteriota; Cyanophyceae; Synechococcales; Synechococcaceae. The record is from RNAcentral.